GGGAUAUAUAUAUGGGAAUAGCCACAUAGACUUUUAGUCCAUACCCAGAAGUCUGUAUAUAAGUCUGCUUUAUUAAUGUUGGGUAUCAUUAUAGUAUCUUGGAAACAUGAUCUUGUAAAGAUGAAAAUCAUCAUAAAUGAGAGCAAUAGAACAUUCAAAGAUUAUAGCAGAACAGUUUAUGGAGACACUGAACAGGUAAAGAUUUUAGAAUACUUGUACUGUUUUUUUUCAUCCUUGCCAUAGUGCAUCUGACCCAGGAUACUGUCUGUACAGUGGUGGACCUGGCAUGGGUAUUUGGGUAGUGGCAUCACUAUGAGAGGUGCUAUUUUCUAUUUUUGGUCAUUUUUAUAUUUCUAGAAUGUGUCACCCUUUGGUUAAAGUAAGCACAGAGGUGCAUGCAUGUGAGUGUAUCCAUUACCACAGCAGAGAGAAGCUCAUGUAUGUUUAUGUAUGCGUCACACUGACCUCUGUUCAGGACUCAUUAUCUAGAGGUUCAUCUUAGCUCAGUGACUUUAUUUUACUCUUUUAUUCUUAGUUAGACCCUGUUCCCUCAAUCUUUUCCAGUGGAUAUCCUCAGUUGGAUAACUGUAACCGUGGUUGCUAGUUAAUAAUUAGUCAUUUAGUGCUAGUCAACAUCUUGUCAGCAUCCUGUGGGUUACAGUAUAUUCUGUAACAGAACAUGGCAGUGAGAUUUGUGUUAAAAGUAAAGAAAACGACAACAUUCAUGAUUGGGAAUAAUCAUUAGAGACAAAACCAUGCUUUCUUCCACAAACCCCAGUUGUAUCUCCAGCAAGAAGAUGCCAUCUGUUUACAAAAUGACAGGAGGAAAUGUUAAUGACGUUGAGAAAAUAAGUGCUUGGUGCUUUUACAUAAUGUUAUGAAAGUUGCUGGUUAUGUGGUCAUGAUUUGUGAUUCCUCCCAUUCUUCCUUCAAGUGGCUGCUGAGGUUUAUGCCUGAAUCCUGACAAUGCUUCUUCCUUAGAUGCAGAAGGCAACUUAGGAGCAGAACCUGCACCUCUCUAGGAUUUUCUUUCCAUGACGAUGCCUGCUGCAGAUCAUUGCUUGAGUUAACCUGUACUUUCCUCCAUCACAGCUGGUGAAGGAAAAGCUCAUUGCUGUAGAUUUUCAUCUCUCACAGGCCAUAAACUCAGAUGAGCCAAAAUAUAGCUUUUUUUUCCCCUACUGAAUUUAAUUUCUCUCUUGAGUCCCUAUUUUCUCUGAUAAUGGAAAUUUGAAAUUAAUUCAAGGGUGAUUCCUUGUUUUCCUCCUGGGGAUACACAACUUCCCUCAGAGGCAAAGGGAUAAGGAGCAAGGACAAUGAUAUAGGUCAAUGACAUAAUGUCAUAGUUUGGGAGGAGUGAGCUGGGUCCUUGGUCUUCAUGUGCCUAGUCUGAGAUGUUGAUUGUUCUAUCUUUCUGGGUUACUGAUAUAUUUGCAUAUGGACCCCCUCUAUUUUUCUUUGUUUUAAAUAAAAGAAAUUAUAAGAUGUGUGAGUCAAUAUGGAAUGGAAAGAAAGAAAUACACAAGGUAUGGGGUAUGAUAAUCUCAAUAUAUUUUGCAAAUUUAUUACUGUAAUUUACAUUUCUGUAUAAUUUGAAGAAGCCUUUUAAAUUAUGAGAAUGGAAUAUUAGUGCUAUUUCCACAAGGAAAAUAGUAGGUUCUCUAUUUAAAUAAUUUGGAAUGGGAUUCAUCCAAAUAUUUUGCAUAAAGAAAAUAUUUUAAGGAAGAGCCAUUUAAUUCAUCUCCUGAUAUUAACUUAAUUGUUUCAGAAAUCUGAC
This 1777-nucleotide long non-coding RNA is filed under the name Marmota monax (woodchuck). The record is from RNAcentral. Lineage: Eukaryota; Metazoa; Chordata; Mammalia; Rodentia; Sciuridae.